Molecule: non-coding RNA, 28 nt
Filed under: Mus musculus (house mouse)
Lineage: Eukaryota; Metazoa; Chordata; Mammalia; Rodentia; Muridae
Source: RNAcentral
UGCACCAUUCUUCUUAGAGGAGCCAGCA